Molecule: ribosomal RNA, 376 nt
Filed under: uncultured bacterium
Lineage: Bacteria
Description: bacterial SSU rRNA
Rfam family: Bacterial small subunit ribosomal RNA
Source: RNAcentral
GUAGUCCACGCCGUAAACGAUGAGUACUAGGUGUAGGAGGUAUCGACCCCUUCUGUGCCGCAGUAAACACAAUAAGUACUCCGCCUGGGAAGUACGAUCGCAAGAUUAAAACUCAAAGGAAUUGACGGGGGCCCGCACAAGCAGCGGAGCAUGUGGUUUAAUUCGAAGCAACGCGAAGAACCUUACCUGGACUUGACAUCCCCUGCAUAUCUUAGAGAUAAGAGAAGCCCUUCGGGGCAGGGAGACAGGUGGUGCAUGGUUGUCGUCAGCUCGUGUCGUGAGAUGUUAGGUUAAGUCCUGCAACGAGCGCAACCCCUAUUGUUAGUUGCUAGCAGUAAGAUGAGCACUCUAACGAGACAGCCGCGGUUAACGCGGA